GGAGGGUGCGAGCGUUGUUCGGAAUCACUGGGCGUAAAGGGCGUGUAGGCGGUCCGCUAAGUCUGAUGUGAAAGCCCGGGGCUCACCCCCGGAAGGGCAUUGGAAACUGACGGACUCGAGUCCCGAAGAGGAGGGUGGAAUUCCUGGUGUAGCGGUGAAAUGCGUAGAUAUCAGGAGGAACACCGGUGGCGAAGGCGGCCCUCUGGACGGUGACUGACGCUGAGACGCGAAAGCGUGGGGAGCAAACAGGAUUAGAUACCCUGGUAGUCCACGCUGUAAACGAUGAGCACUAGGUGUCGUGGGUAUUGACCCCCGCGGUGCCGCAGCUAACGCAUUAAGUGCUCCGCCUGGGGACUACGGCCGCAAGGUUA
Molecule: ribosomal RNA, 371 nt
Filed under: uncultured bacterium
Lineage: Bacteria
Description: bacterial SSU rRNA
Rfam family: Bacterial small subunit ribosomal RNA
Source: RNAcentral